GGUGCUGUAGACUAAUCGGUUAGGUCGGCUCCACGGAAUGAAGGAGGUGCGGGUUCGAUUCCCUCCGACGCCC
This is a non-coding RNA of Acanthoscelides obtectus, 73 nucleotides long. The record is from the annotation of a GenBank genome assembly. Lineage: Eukaryota; Metazoa; Arthropoda; Insecta; Coleoptera; Chrysomelidae.